RNAcentral lists this ribosomal RNA (253 nucleotides) under uncultured bacterium. Its description in RNAcentral is "partial 16S ribosomal RNA". It matches the Rfam family "Bacterial small subunit ribosomal RNA", at positions 524 to 776 of the family's 1533-position model. The record is from RNAcentral.
UACGAGGGGUGCAAGCGUUAUUCGGAAUCAUUGGGCGUAAAGGGUGUGUAGGCGGCAUGUCAAGUCUGUUGUUAAAUCUCCCAGCCUAACUGGGAAAAUGCAAUGGAAACUGAUGUGAUAGAGGAUGGAAGAGAGAAGUGGAAUUCUCGGAGUAGCGGUAAAAUGCGUAGAUCUCGAGAGGAACACCGAUGGCGAAGGCAGCUUCUUGGUCCAUUCCUGACGCUGAUACACGAAAGCGUGGGGAGCAAACAGG